This is a non-coding RNA of Acanthosepion pharaonis, 90 nucleotides long. The record is from the annotation of a GenBank genome assembly. Lineage: Eukaryota; Metazoa; Mollusca; Cephalopoda; Sepiida; Sepiidae.
CAUCACCGGAUCCCAUAUGAUCACCAAAGUUAAGCAAUGUUGAGCCUGAUCAGUACUUAAAUGGGUGACUGCUUGAGAAUACCGGGUGCU